Molecule: ribosomal RNA, 492 nt
Filed under: uncultured bacterium
Lineage: Bacteria
Description: partial 16S ribosomal RNA
Rfam family: Bacterial small subunit ribosomal RNA
Source: RNAcentral
AGUGGACGCUGGCGGUAGGCCUAACACAUGCAAGUCGAACGGCAGCACAGUAAGAGCUUGCUCUUACGGGUGGCGAGUGGCGGACGGGUGAGGAAUACAUCGGAAUCUACUUUUUCGUGGGGGAUAACGUAGGGAAACUUACGCUAAUACCGCAUACGACCUACGGGUGAAAGCAGGGGAUCUUCGGACCUUGCGCGAUUGAAUGAGCCGAUGUCGGAUUAGCUAGUUGGCGGGGUAAAGGCCCACCAAGGCGACGAUCCGUAGCUGGUCUGAGAGGAUGAUCAGCCACACUGGAGCUGAGACACGGUCCAGACUCCUACGGGAGGCAGCAGUGGGGAAUAUUGGACAAUGGGCGCAAGCCUGAUCCAGCCAUACCGCGUGGGUGAAGAAGGCCUUCGGGUUGUAAAGCCCUUUUGUUGGGAAAGAAAAGCAGCAGGUUAAUACCCCGCUGUUCUGACGGUACCCAAAGAAUAAGCACCGGCUAACUUCGUG